GACAGAGGGUGCAAACGUUGUUCGGAAUUACUGGGCAUAAGGCGCACGUAGGUGGUCCACUAAGUCGAGUGUGAAAUCCCCCGGCUCAACCGGGGAAUGGCGCUCGAUACUGGUGGGCUAGAGGUCGGUAGGGGUGAGCGGAACUCCAGGUGGAGCGGUGAAAUGCGUAGAUAUCGAGAGGAACACCUGCGGCGAAGGCGGGUUGCUGGGCCGACACUGACGCUGAUGCGCGAAAGCCAGGGGAGCGAACGGG
Molecule: ribosomal RNA, 253 nt
Filed under: uncultured bacterium
Lineage: Bacteria
Description: partial 16S ribosomal RNA
Rfam family: Bacterial small subunit ribosomal RNA
Source: RNAcentral